Long non-coding RNA from Gambusia affinis (western mosquitofish), 488 nucleotides. RefSeq lists it as uncharacterized. The record is from RefSeq and is a predicted model, not a curated record. The transcript is spliced from 3 exons. NCBI's taxonomy places the organism in Eukaryota, Metazoa, Chordata, Actinopteri, Cyprinodontiformes, Poeciliidae.
AUUUACUUUUAUUUUUUUUUUUGGGCGGGGGAAUGUGUGCAUGUGUCUCUGUAGCUAGAAGUGUCACAUGAGAGUGAGCAGAUUUACAAACUGGUUUUAAAGUCCGCAGGAUGGAAUAUUUGACAAACCGUAAUUAAACCCAAACUAAACACUCAGAACAUUUGAAGAAAAGAGAGCAAGAAGGAAAUAAAUAAAAAAAGAAAGAAAGACAGAAAGAAAGAAAGGAAAAACUCAUAGAAAUGCAAAACCAAAAAUAGCAUCAGUGUGCCUCAGAAGAGUGGAGCUCCAGCGUGUGAUAUCACUGUAGCCAGGACCUCCUCAUUAUUUGGAUCCAAGCUGAAACUGAGACACAUUUAGUGUCAUGGCCUAAAACAGAACGCUGCCCACUGACUCAGGUCAGCGAAGGCUACGAUAGCUGAAACGUCUCCAUGACAACUGAAUAAACUGUAUCUACCCAUGAAGUCGAAAAUACUGUGUUUAAAAUGAAU